Molecule: transfer RNA, 87 nt
Filed under: Candidatus Omnitrophota bacterium
Lineage: Bacteria; Pseudomonadati; Candidatus Omnitrophota
Description: tRNA-Ser
Rfam family: tRNA
About the family: Transfer RNA (tRNA) molecules are approximately 80 nucleotides in length. Their secondary structure includes four short double-helical elements and three loops (D, anti-codon, and T loops).
Source: RNAcentral
GGUGGGGUGGCUGAGCGGUUGAAAGCGGCAGUCUUGAAAACUGUUGUGGGCGCAAGUCCACCCAGGGUUCGAAUCCCUGCCCCACCG